This 627-nucleotide ribosomal RNA is filed under the name uncultured bacterium. Its description in RNAcentral is "bacterial SSU rRNA". The stretch from base 1 to 541 matches the Rfam family "Bacterial small subunit ribosomal RNA", at positions 338 to 873 of the family's 1533-position model. The record is from RNAcentral.
CCUACGGGAGGCAGCAGUGGGGAAUUUUGGACAAUGGGCGCAAGCCUGAUCCAGCCAUGCCGCGUGCGGGAAGAAGGCCUUCGGGUUGUAAACCGCUUUUGUCAGGGAAGAAAUCCUUUGGGCUAAUACCUCGGAGGGAUGACGGUACCUGAAGAAUAAGCACCGGCUAACUACGUGCCAGCAGCCGCGGUAAUACGUAGGGUGCGAGCGUUAAUCGGAAUUACUGGGCGUAAAGCGUGCGCAGGCGGUUAUGCAAGACAGAUGUGAAAUCCCCGGGCUUAACCUGGGAACUGCAUUUGUGACUGCAUAGCUCGAGUACGGCAGAGGGGGAUGGAAUUCCGCGUGUAGCAGUGAAAUGCGUAGAUAUGCGGAGGAACACCGAUGGCGAAGGCAAUCCCCUGGGCCUGUACUGACGCUCAUGCACGAAAGCGUGGGGAGCAAACAGGAUUAGAUACCCUGGUAGUCCACGCCCUAAACGAUGUCAACUGGUUGUUGGACGGCUUGCUGUUCAGUACGAAGCUAACGCGUGAAGUUGACCGCCUGGGGGAGGUACGGCCGCGAGUAGUAACGUUAAAGGUAAAGUUAGACGGCGUGAGACGUGCCGACGGACGACGACGAGGGAGGAGG